CGCGUAGGCGGAUUGGAAAGUUGGGGUGAAAUCCCGGGGCUCAACCCCGGAACUGCCUCCAAAACCUAUCAGUCUGGAGUUCGAGAGAGGUGAGUGGAAUUGCGAGUGUAGAGGUGAAAUUCGUAGAUAUUCGCAGGAACACCAGUGGCGAAGGCGGCUCACUGGCUCGAUACUGACGCUGAGGUGCGAAAGUGUGGAGAGCAAACA
Molecule: ribosomal RNA, 207 nt
Filed under: uncultured bacterium
Lineage: Bacteria
Description: partial 16S ribosomal RNA
Rfam family: Bacterial small subunit ribosomal RNA
Source: RNAcentral